Molecule: ribosomal RNA, 1254 nt
Filed under: Triticum aestivum (bread wheat)
Lineage: Eukaryota; Viridiplantae; Streptophyta; Magnoliopsida; Poales; Poaceae
Description: partial small subunit ribosomal RNA
Source: RNAcentral
AUGGACAGCCAUAAUUCUACACUGCUCCAUGUUCCUGAAGUAACCAUGGACAUCUCAUCCGCUUCUGGAGCAGCUGGGAACAAAGUUUGCAGAGGUGCUGCUUGCGACUUUUCUGAUGCCAGUAACACCUCGAAAGAUUCAAAGGAGAGGUCUGCAUCCAUGAAGAAGCUCCUAAUUGCUGUGAUCCUUUGUGUUAUAUUCAUGGCGGUUGAAGUGGUUGGAGGCAUCAAAGCAAACAGUCUUGCAAUCUUGACUGAUGCUGCCCAUCUCCUUUCGGAUGUUGCAGCCUUUGCCAUAUCUUUGUUCUCCCUAUGGGCAGCUGGUUGGGAAGCGACACCUCAGCAGUCAUAUGGAUUUUUCCGUAUAGAGAUUCUUGGGGCAUUGGUUUCCAUUCAGCUUAUAUGGCUCCUUGCUGGCAUACUUGUCUACGAAGCUAUUAUGAGGCUCAUUAAUGAAAGCGGCGAGGUACAGGGCUCCCUCAUGUUUGCUGUAUCAGCUUUUGGUUUGUUUGUUAACAUCAUAAUGGCAGUGUUGCUUGGUCAUGACCAUGGGCACGGUGGACAUGGGCACAGCCAUGGACAUUCACAUGACCACGAUCAUGGUAACUCAGAGGAUGACCAUUCCCAUCAUGGAGAUCAUGAGCAGGGCCAUGUACAUCACCAUGAGCACAGCCAUGGUACUUCUAUUACCGUUACAACUAAUCAUCACUCUCAUUCGAGCACUGGACAACAUCAGGAUGUUGAGCAACCAUUGCUUAAACAUGAUGGUGAUUGUGAGAGUGCCCAGCCUGGAGCCAAGCCUGCUAAGAAGCCUCGUCGCAAUAUCAAUGUUCACAGUGCCUAUCUGCACGUAAUUGGGGACUCCAUCCAGAGCAUUGGCGUAAUGAUUGGAGGGGCUCUCAUCUGGUACAAGCCCGAAUGGAAGAUUAUUGAUCUCAUAUGCACCCUCAUCUUCUCUGUGAUUGUACUGUUCACCACAAUCAAGAUGAUCCGGAACAUACUUGAGGUCCUUAUGGAGAGCACGCCCCGCGAGAUUGAUGCCACCAGGCUUGAGAGUGGUCUCCGUAAGAUGGAAGGUGUGAUUGCUGUCCAUGAGCUGCACAUCUGGGCUAUCACAGUGGGGAAGGUGCUCUUGGCAUGCCAUGUGACGAUCACGCAGGAUGCGGAUGCUGAUAAAAUGCUUGACAAGGUCAUUGGGUACAUCAAGGCAGAGUACAACAUCAGUCAUGUGACCAUUCAGAUUGAGCGAGAGUAA